This 460-nucleotide ribosomal RNA is filed under the name uncultured bacterium. Its description in RNAcentral is "partial 16S ribosomal RNA". It matches the Rfam family "Bacterial small subunit ribosomal RNA", at positions 338 to 795 of the family's 1533-position model. The record is from RNAcentral.
CCUACGGGUGACAGCAGUGAGGAAUAUUGGUCAAUGGACGAGAGUCUGAACCAGCCAAGUAGCGUGACGGAUUACUGCCCUAUGGGUUGUAAACUUCUUUUAUAUGGGAAUAAAAUGUUCCACGUGUGGGAUUUUGUAUGUACCAUAUGCAUAAGGAUCGGCUAACUCCGUGCCAGCAGCCGCGGUAAUACGGCGGAUCCGAGCGUUAUCCGGAUUUAUUGGGUUUAAAGGGAGCGUAGGUGGAUUGUUAAGUCAGUUGUGAAAGUUUGCGGCUCAACCGUAAAAUUGCAGUUGAAACUGGCAGUCUUGAGUACAGUAGAGGUGGGCGGAAGUCGUGGUGUAGCGGUGAAAUGCUUAGAUAUCACGAAGAACUCCGAUUGCGAAGGCAGUUCACUGGACUGCAACUGACACUGAGGCUCGAAAGUGUGGGUAUCAAACAGGAUUAGAUACCCGGGUAGUC